UUAAUUGAAGAGUUUGAUCAUGGCUCAGAUUGAACGCUGGCGGCAGGCUUAACACAUGCAAGUCGAGCGGUAGCACAAGAGAGCUUGCUCUCUGGGUGACGAGCGGCGGACGGGUGAGUAAUGUCUGGGAAACUGCCUGAUGGAGGGGGAUAACUACUGGAAACGGUAGCUAAUACCGCAUAACGUCGCAAGACCAAAGAGGGGGAC
RNAcentral lists this ribosomal RNA (207 nucleotides) under Escherichia coli. RNAcentral's name for it is "partial 16S ribosomal RNA". It matches the Rfam family "Bacterial small subunit ribosomal RNA", at positions 1 to 214 of the family's 1533-position model. RNAcentral also lists the same sequence under 1 other name. Lineage: Bacteria; Pseudomonadati; Pseudomonadota; Gammaproteobacteria; Enterobacterales; Enterobacteriaceae. The record is from RNAcentral.